UACGUAGGGGGCAAGCGUUGUCCGGAUUUAUUGGGCGUAAAGAGCGUGUAGGCGGUUAGGUAGGUCCGUUGUGAAAACUCGAGGCUUAACCCCGAGCUGUCGGCGGAAACCAUCUGGCUAGAGUCCGGAAGAGGAGAAUGGAAUUCCCGGUGUAGCGGUGAAAUGCGCAGAUAUCGGGAAGAACACCCGUGGCGAAGGCGGUUCUCUGGGACGGUACUGACGCUGAGACGCGAAAGCGUGGGGAGCGAACAGG
Molecule: ribosomal RNA, 253 nt
Filed under: uncultured bacterium
Lineage: Bacteria
Description: partial 16S ribosomal RNA
Rfam family: Bacterial small subunit ribosomal RNA
Source: RNAcentral